CUUACUCUGAUUUUAGAGAUUAUAACUUUUAGGCUGAUUGGGGUGGGAUGGGAGGCAAAAAAAAUUGCUCAGGCAGGAUUCCGAUGCUACUAAUUACUCACCAAAAUAUGGAUAAGACCAUUUUUGUAAGCAAUGAAUUGGCUCAUUUAAAAUUCCUUUGUUUUCAUUUUUAGAAGAAAGAAAGAGGAAGAAGGAAGAAAGUCAAAAGGAUGAAACAACAAAAGGAGCUCCCCACAGAAAGACAGACUCUUUCGCCAGCACAUUUAAGAAUCUAAAUGAGGCCAAGUGCCAAGCAGAUAAAGGGACUCUACUUGCUGCACAGUAAAUAAAACGGAGGCAGGAGGACACCUGCAUCAAACAAUACUUUCUGAGGGGAUGACAACAAGAUUUCAGAGAAUUCAGAUCCUGACUUUCCUGCCUCACCAGGUACAACCCAAGUCACCAGAGCUCAUAAAAGAUGUGUGUGCUGUCGCAUCUAUGUGAAGUAUUUCCAUGACCCGAGCAUUGACCACAGGACUGUGCUGGAGGAAACUGGAUCAAGGUACCAAGACAGAUACAGGAGGGUCUCCAGAAACCCUAGAGCUGAAUGGAACCCGUCUGGAAAACAUACACUGGAAACUAGGCCGAGGAUUAUCCAAAGGGUGGUUGAAAUCAAGGGUUAAAGUUUGGCUCAAGAUAAGGAAGAAUCUUCUAAUAAUUAAAACUGACCAUCCAAAAGAUGGGUGCCGUUGACAACACAGAGAGAAGAGAGAACCUAAACAAUGAAACAAGUCCCCUGCCCACGUGCUGUCAGACACUGGAGAAAAGAACAAAACCAAAGAAAAGCCACUGAGCAAACACAAUGGCCUUGUCUUCUACCUUUCUUGUGGCACAAUGCAGGACUGGACAGCACUGUCCUCCCCAUCCCAUCUCCUUCCCUCCCUCUACUCUCACCCCCCUCCACCAGCCUUCCUGCUCCCAAAGCACGUUACUGACUAGCAGCUUGCCAGUCCAGAUUGUAGUUUUAAUCCACCAACUAGUAUUGCAGCUCAUAGAAUGGCUUUGGAUUUAUGAAACAGGCUGAGGGGAAAUAAAGUACCCUAGUUUGUAGAUAAUAAAAGCUAAGAGUGGUGCAUCCAGGGAGAGAGGUGGGGUGCCAGGGGUUCUUAGGAAGGUAGUGGUACCACCUACUGCCAGAGUCUCUUUUGAAUUGGCUUUAUCCAGGAGUCCCAAAAGCCCUUUAAACUACUUCAUGGUAGCCUUUGACAGAGAACUCUUUGGCAGUGACUUGGAGAGGGUUUAUGAAGACAGUGCUCAGGCUUUGGUCAUGACACAGGCAGAUUGGGGAUGGAGUGGUACAUGUUUGAUUACAGUGUGUGUUGAGGGGCAAGGGGGCAGGUCUUGGUACAAUGACAACUAGCACGAGACCUUGAACUCAACAUGGAUUUUAAAAGUGUUUGUUUAAUGCAUGAAUAAAACAAUGCUCAUGAUAUUUUGUGGUCUUUAGUGACCAAUCAUAGUAGACGUCUUAGAAUUACCAAGCCCUAAGGAAUACUAAAACCCAGUCUAAUAAACUCAGUAAAACCAAGAGUGGACUCUAAUGUAAACUGUGGACUUUUGGAUGUACCUCUCUGGUGGGGAAUGUUGAUAAUGGAGGAGGCUAGGCUUGUGUGGGGGUGGCGAACACAUGGAAAAUCUCUGUAUCUUUUGCUUAUUUUUCUGUGAACCUAAAACUGAUCUAAAAAAAAGUAUAUAAAAAAUUCAUAGCCACAUAAAUUGGCAGUCAGAUCUGGUGAUUCAGCUGAACCUUUAUCUAAGCAUAUAGAAAAGAACACAUAUUUUCUGAUGUUUGAAAAAAUUGCUGUUUUACCUUGAAACUAAUAAAACAAAAUUGGCACAACUUAUUUUUUAAAUGCAGUAAAAAUACUUAGUCUGUCCUACAGCCUAUAUUCAUCUACUGUGGACAUCAUUUCCUCGCCAUGAAAUUUCCGUGGAAUCUAUAGGAGGCAAACCUGGGAUUAAAGCCUGAAUUUGCCAUUUAAUAAUGAGAAAACCUUGGAAAAGUCUGUCUAUCUGGAUGACUGUCAGUCCAGCAGAGACAUAGAAAUGUGCCAUAAAUAACCGAAUGCAUCACAAAAACAGAACAGGAGCUACGAGUGUUACUGAAGGCUUGAUUUGAGUUCUCACCUGAGAAACGGACACCCCCUAGCCCACUCCCACAGUUCACACUGGUUCUUCUACCUACAAGCCGAGUCUUCACUUUCUUAAAAGGGGACGUGGACAUGAAUUGACUAGGCCACACAUUUAUCAAUUUGAAGCCAUUACUUUGCUUCACAGAUGUAGAAGCCCCAUUUCUCGACAAAGAAGAGGAAAGAAAGAGGAAAAAUGAAGGAAUAAAUGAUAGAAGUAAAGAAAAAUGUAAAUAAACUUUCUCGUCUACACAGAAUAAAAGGAUCCAGUCUAGCCAACUAGACAAAAGUUAGUUUCUCAAUACUAACAUGCCUGGUGCCUCUCUUCUGUUUCCAGCCCUGGAAUAAUAAGUUUCACUUUUUCAUUUCUUCACCCAAAAUAAAACUUGAACUGCUCACUUCCUCAUCUUUUCAUUUGCAGAUCUCAAAAGCAGCCUCUUCCACAUCUACCCUUGGGGCAUGUCUGGCCCACUCCCCUACAG
Molecule: long non-coding RNA, 2650 nt
Filed under: Homo sapiens (human)
Lineage: Eukaryota; Metazoa; Chordata; Mammalia; Primates; Hominidae
Description: HSALNT0020898
Source: RNAcentral